AAAAAAAAAAAAAAAAAAAAAGUAAAAUCAUUGCUUUAAAUAUUAGUGUAAAUAUUAUUUUUAUAGCAGAGGUAAAGGGUUAGUUUAUAGUUUUAUUAGAAAUAUUUAUUAAAUUAGUUAAAUUUGUGCCAGCAUCUGCGGUUAGACUAAAAAUUUUACUAGUAUAAUUUAGAAUUUUGUAUUAUUGUAUAUUUUUGAAAUAAUUUUUGGUGAAAUAAAUUAUUUGAGUGUUAAUUAUAUUAGUCUGUAUAGUUUUAGUUAAAGCAGGAUUAGAUACCCUGUUAUUUUAAUUUUUAUUGUUUCUAAGUAGUAAAGUUAAAUUUAAAAGAUUUGGCGGCUAAAAUGAAUUAAAGGAGUUUGUUUUUUUAUUUGACGAGACACAUUAGGUUUUACUUGUUUUUUUUAGUAUACCGUCAUUUAAGUUAGUUUAUGGUUAAUUAACUAUCGUAAUGAAGUAAGAUAAGUUAGAUCAAGGUGCAGAUAUAGGCGAGGAAAAAUUAACUACAAUAAAUUAUUAUUAUACUUGGGGUUUUUAAAAUUAUUGUGUAGGUGGAUUUAAUUGUAAUUAAAGUAAUAUGAAAUUGUUUUUAGUGUACAAAUUGCCCGUCAUUCUCUAUGAGACAAGUCGAAACAAAGUAGGGCUAUCGGAAGUUGGACCUA
This 660-nucleotide ribosomal RNA is filed under the name Pseudoniphargus sp. 2-Andalusia. RNAcentral's name for it is "12S ribosomal RNA". Lineage: Eukaryota; Metazoa; Arthropoda; Malacostraca; Amphipoda; Allocrangonyctidae. The record is from RNAcentral.